This is a long non-coding RNA of Nothoprocta perdicaria, 145 nucleotides long. RefSeq lists it as uncharacterized. The transcript is spliced from 2 exons. The record is from RefSeq and is a predicted model, not a curated record. Lineage: Eukaryota; Metazoa; Chordata; Aves; Tinamiformes; Tinamidae.
UGUGGGUUGCCUAUAUGGUCUUUAGAGAUUCCACUGAGAGGCUUUCCUGACCAUAACCUGGAUUGCCUGCUCUCAGCCGGAGGCAACUUGUGUACUCAUAGAGAUCUACAGGGUGGAGAACUCCAUUAGACUUCCUGGAUAAGAU